CGAAGGGAAACCGAGUCUUAAUAGGGCGACUAGUUGCAUGCCGUAGACCCGAAACCGGGUGACCUAUCCAUGGCCAGGUUGAAGCGGGGGUAAAACCCCGUGGAGGACCGAACCACGUUGCUGUUGAAAAAGCAUGGGAUGAGCUGUGGAUAGCGGAGAAAUUCCAAUCGAACUCGGAGAUAGCUGGUUCUCCUCGAAAUAGCUUUAGGGCUAGCCUCGGAAUUGAGAAUGAUGGAGGUAGAGCACUGUUUGGACUAGGGGCCCAUCUCGGGUUACCGAAUUCAGAUAAACUCCGAAUGCCAUUCAUUUAUAUCCGGGAGUCAGACUGCGAGUGAUAAGAUCCGUAGUCGAAAGGGAAACAGCCCAGACCACCAGCUAAGGUCCCAAAAUAUAUGUUAAGUGGAAAAGGAUGUGGGAUUUCUAAGACAACUAGGAUGUUGGCUUAGAAGCAGCCACUCAUUAAAAGAGUGCGUAAUAGCUCACUAGUCGAGAGAUCCUGCGCCGAAGAUGUCCGGGGCUCAAACUUACCACCGAAGCUACGGGUUCACACAUAAGUGUGAGCGGUAGAGGAGCGUCGUAAUCGGGCUGAAGUCGUACCGUAAGGAGCGGUGGACUGAUUACGAGUGAGAAUGUUGGCAUUAGUAGCGAGAUGUGGGUGAGAAUCCCACAGGCCGAAUAUCUAAGGUUUCCUCAGGAAGGCUCGUCCGCUGAGGGUUAGUCGGGACCUAAGCCGAGGCCGAAAGGCGUAGGCGAUGGACAAUCGGUUGAUAUUCCGAUACCACUACUGAUCGUUAUUAUCGAUGGUGUGACGGAGAAGGAUAGAGUGUGCUAGCUAUUGGAUGCUAGUCUAAGCGUUUAGGGAGUUAGGAAAGGCAAAUCCGUCCUAACAAUUCUGAGGCGUGAUGGGGAAGGUUCUACGGAACCGAAGUACUUGAUUCCAUGCUUCCAAGAAAAGCAUCUAGAGAGAGAUGUAGUGCCCGUACCGCAAACCGACACAGGUAGAUGAGGAGAGAAUCCUAAGGCCGGCGGAAGAAUCACAGUUAAGGAACUAGGCAAAUUGACCCCGUAACUUAGGGAGAAGGGGUGCCUGCGAGAGCAGGCCGCAGAGAAUAGGCCCAAGCAACUGUUUAGCAAAAACACAGGUCUCUGCUAAAGCGAAAGCUGAUGUAUAGGGGCUGACGCCUGCCCGGUGCUGGAAGGUUAAGGGGAACACUUAGCGCAAGCGAAGGUGUGAACUUAAGCCCCAGUAAACGGCGGCCGUAACUAUAACGGUCCUAAGGUAGCGAAAUUCCUUGUCAGGUAAGUUCUGACCCGCACGAAUGGCGUAAUGACUUGGGCACUGUCUCAACUGUGAAUCCGGCGAAGUUGUAGUGCGAGUGAAGAUGCUCGCUACCCGCGAUUGGACGGAAAGACCCCGUAGAGCUUUACUGUAGCUUAGCAUUGAAUUUCGGUAUUGUCUGUACAGGAUAGGUGGGAGACUGGGAAAUCAGGGCGUCAGCCUUGAUGGAGUCGUCCUUGGGAUACCACCCUGACAGUACUGAGGUUCUAACUGGAUGCCAUGAAUCUGGUGACAGGACAUUGUUAGGUGGGCAGUUUGACUGGGGCGGUCGCCUCCUAAAAGGUAACGGAGGCGCCCAAAGGUUCCCUCAGAAUGGUUGGAAAUCAUUCGAAGAGUGUAAAGGCAGAAGGGAGCUUGACUGCGAGACCUACAAGUUGAGCAGGGACGAAAGUCGGGCUUAGUGAUCCGGUGGUUCCGUAUGGAAGGGCCAUCGCUCAACGGAUAAAAGCUACCCUGGGGAUAACAGGCUUAUCUCCCCCAAGAGUCCACAUCGACGGGGAGGUUUGGCACCUCGAUGUCGGCUCGUCGCAUCCUGGGGCUGUAGUCGGUCCCAAGGGUUGGGCUGUUCGCCCAUUAAAGCGGCACGCGAGCUGGGUUCAGAACGUCGUGAGACAGUUCGGUCCCUAUCCGUCGCGGGCGUUGGAAAUUUGAGAGGAGCUGUCCUUAGUACGAGAGGACCGGGAUGGACUUACCGCUGGUGUACCAGUUGUUCUGCCAAGGGCAUGGCUGGUUGGCUACGUCGGGUUGUGAUAACCGCUGAAAGCAUCUAAGCGGGAAGCACGCUUCAAGAUGAGGGUUCCUGCAGAUGAAUCUGGUAAGGUCUCCGGUAGACGACCGGGUUGAUAGGCCAGGCGUGGACGCAUCGUAAGGUGUGGAGCUGACUGGUACUAAUAGACCGAGGACUUACACAA
RNAcentral lists this ribosomal RNA (2250 nucleotides) under human gut metagenome. RNAcentral describes it as "bacterial LSU rRNA". It matches the Rfam family "Bacterial large subunit ribosomal RNA", at positions 667 to 2925 of the family's 2925-position model. The record is from RNAcentral.